This is a long non-coding RNA of Pleuronectes platessa (European plaice), 659 nucleotides long. RefSeq lists it as uncharacterized. The record is from RefSeq and is a predicted model, not a curated record. The transcript is spliced from 2 exons. NCBI's taxonomy places the organism in Eukaryota, Metazoa, Chordata, Actinopteri, Pleuronectiformes, Pleuronectidae.
GUUAGAAACAUCCAUGGCAGCCGGCAGCAGCAGCACACCUACUGAUGCCGCAGCGGGAGCCGGUCAUGGAGGAGUCUGCAGUGUGUCGGGCGGCGCUGCAGGGAGAGCCGUGAUGGUCGUGACAUUGGGAGGGCUGUCAGGUAAAAGAUCCUGGAAUUGAGAGACUCCACCUGCAGGUUGGUGGGUGGAGAGGAUGACGACAGUGUAAAGCAAAGAUAGACACAUCGCAGAAAAGGGGACAGAGGCUUGAGAAGCAGUGGGGGGUGGAUGAGGACUAUUAGGGUUCUGGAUGGAUCAGUAGGGACCCACCUAUCACACCCUGCAGUGGAUAAACAAGAGGAUUACCUUCUCUUUUUAUCUGCCCAAAGUGAUCCUCCCACGAGGCGAUGAAGCAGCCCCUCACCUCUCUGUCAAAUGUCCAUGGAGGAUACUUUGAUUACAAAGACUGGCCAUUUAUAAUACAAGUCUGUGCGUGUGGGUUUUCUGCUGAAUGCCACAAGAACCACACAUCAAGGCAUAGCUUGAGAGAUGGAUGGAGUUGAUGUGCUAAUAGUCCAAUAAAACCAAGUAUAUUUCCUGUCAGCUUCCCUCUUUGGCAAUGUGCAAUAUUGAAUUAGCGGGGACCCCUAAAGAAUGUUUGUAUUAAACUAUGAAAUGGU